Molecule: long non-coding RNA, 1275 nt
Organism: Hordeum vulgare subsp. vulgare (domesticated barley)
Lineage: Eukaryota; Viridiplantae; Streptophyta; Magnoliopsida; Poales; Poaceae
Exons: 3
Source: RefSeq, a predicted model, not a curated record
AGGAACGGAGGGAGUACAUGAGAUGAUGUUGCCUUGCGAUCCGGCGCCAGCCACCAUGCUGCCAGAGAGGGAACUGGAUGAACUGAUAGGUACUGUAUGAACUGUAAAUGAUCUAGAAGCAAUGCUGCAUUACACCACUUGUCAUUUGACUCAAUUACUUCCCCCGCCAAACAAAUGGACUCUACUAGUUCAGUGCACAUUCGUGUCAUUUAUCCAGGGCACAUACCGGAGAUCGAUUGGUGGUGCAAGCUCCCUAGAAGAGGUCCUCGGAAGAGAAGAAUACCACUAUGCAUGGACCGGGGUUGGUUUUUGGGUAACCACUUCGGGGUAAGGAUCAAACUUUAUAUAUUCUCAGGUUGAAAUUCAACAAAUUACUCACACAUGUAUUUAGUGCUUUAUAUAUGGUGUGCACUCUUUUGAGAUUCAGAAUUUCCAUCUGUUACUAAUUCGUCAGGGUGAAACAGCCAAAGAAUUAUUUUCUGUUGGUUGUUUUAAUAACAGGAUAAUUCUUGCCCCCGGGAUGCACCUUCGGGAAGUGACGGUCGAAGACCCACCAGGCAUUGGGAUCCCGAAGAGGUUAAUAGACUGAUUGCUGGUGUUGAAAAAUAUGGACAGUCAAAAUGGCACAUGAUAACGAGGGAAUAUUUUCCAGACCCAGAUCAAACUCAAAGGGCUCGAACUCCAGGGGAUCUGAAGGAUAAGUGGAGGAACUUGCGGAAACCAUGCCAGGGAGAUGUACAAACAAGAUGCUAUAAUCCUCUUAAAAGUAGGCAGAUUAAACGAAUCAAGAAAAUAUUAGGGAUACGUGAUGAAUGAUGUGAAGAACCCGUAUCCAAACUGAUCAAUAAUGGAGGUGCUGUUUAGGACUUUUGAUGUACAAAUUAAGUAGACAGUAGCUGGACUGAAGCUUUUGAAAUGUUUAGCACUGUCUUACUAAUGAUGUGGAGGGAGGUCUCAUGCCCCGGUUUAGUAGUCCAGUGUUAAGAUAACAUUAUCUGAAGACACUAGAUCAUUGCUGGCGCAUGUUGCCGCGCUGAUCUUUUUUAGUGUAAUCUGAUAGUGUUGCAAAUUUAUGUAAAAAUGUGUGGCUGUUUUUUUUAGCAUAGUUGUUGUUUUCUUACUAACGUGAGUACAUAAUGGAAGAUUAGUCUAUUGGCAAAAAAAAGAAUGGAAGUUUAGUCAUUUUUAUUAGGCUGGUUAUGGACCUUAUUUGUAGAUACUUGGAAAUACAUGUGUGCUAAUAUUUGUGAUAAAUUCUGAACGGUACAAAACUUA